UAUUUUGUUCUCACGUGAAUGUUUACAUGUGUCUGGUGUUUCCGAAACUAAUGCCGCUUUGAUUGGCACUUUUAUUGCUGCCAUAUUAUAGAC
Long non-coding RNA from Wasmannia auropunctata (little fire ant), 93 nucleotides. RefSeq lists it as uncharacterized. The record is from RefSeq and is a predicted model, not a curated record. The transcript has 3 exons. Lineage: Eukaryota; Metazoa; Arthropoda; Insecta; Hymenoptera; Formicidae.